Vespula pensylvanica (western yellowjacket) is the source of this 1257-nucleotide long non-coding RNA. RefSeq lists it as uncharacterized. The record is from RefSeq and is a predicted model, not a curated record. The transcript has 2 exons. NCBI's taxonomy places the organism in Eukaryota, Metazoa, Arthropoda, Insecta, Hymenoptera, Vespidae.
AGUAUUUGUGAACGUAUUCACAGCAAACUUCUACAUUAUUCUUAUUUCUAAAGAUUACAAACUAGGGAUUGAACGGCGUCCAACGUUCGCGUGAGAAGUUUAUGGAGUGUAUAGUCAGAAAUCUUUAUGGAUUUCACAGUUGCAAGUAUUUUACGACGUUGCUCGCGCGACUAGUUCUGAAAUAGUAAAUCGUUUAAAAAUCCACGGUAAUAUAUUUAUUUCGUUUAUUUGCUGCUAUCUCUCUAGGUGUUGAAUUAUAAUUGGCUCUAAGAAGGACAAAACAGACACGGAAUAAAACAGAAUGGUACUCGGAGUCACCUUUACGACCAGCAAAAGUAACGAAAUUGCAUAACUUUAAGUGUACUAAGAAAAUGAGGCCACGAGAUUCUAAUAAGCGUAACUAUACAGCGGUGAAUGAUAAAACGUGCGCAUCUCUUGUCUUACGUGCCAUUGAAUACUCUAAAAUUUCUUCAAAUUUAAGCUAAGAUACAAAUUUGUAUUUUGUUAUUGUCUUAUUCAAUCGUAAAAUAAAAUUGUUAGAGGAUAAGAGUUAUCCGAUUAAUUUCAUCUUUGGAUAUGUAUACGUUCGAUUAAUUUUUCAAAUAACAAAUUUCUUAUUUAAAAAUAUUCUCCUAAAAUAGAAGUCUGUUUGUGAAAAUGAAUAAACUAUUAAAUUUUUAAAAAUGCAACAGAAAAUUCUAUGGAUUUGUAAGACUACCGGACAUUCUAAUCGAUAAACGCAUAUUGCGCGUUAUGAAUCUAACGACUUCUAACAUUUCUUGCGAAAAUAAUCAUUAACUUUUCGAUGGGUUUAUGUAAAAAAAAAAAAAGAAAAAGGGAACAACCCUCCGUUUUAUGGUAAGAGAUUAUUCUCAAAGAUACUGGCUGAAAAUACAUUAAAAGGCGCGCACGUCGGUGACGAGAUUAAAGGUAACCUUCUCAUCGAUUUUCAGUCUUCAAGGGUCAACGACGUAUUACGUGCAUAGAACUAAUACAAGUGAAUUUCGCAAAAUAUUUCUCCAAAAAGAUUAUACCAAGAAGUAAAAGAACGACUUGAAAAUUGAAAAAAAACAAGGACGAUAAAUCUUUAUUAUAACGAAGGACAUAGAAACGCCCACGCGAUGUGCUAGUAAGUAGAGCCAGUCGAUAUCAGAGAAGGUAAAACAGGAGAGAAAGAGAGAGAGAGAGAGAGAGAGAGAGAGAGAGAGAGAGAGAGAGAGAGAGAAAGAGAGAGAGAGAGAAAGAGAGAGAGAGAGA